This 253-nucleotide ribosomal RNA is filed under the name uncultured bacterium. RNAcentral describes it as "partial 16S ribosomal RNA". It matches the Rfam family "Bacterial small subunit ribosomal RNA", at positions 524 to 776 of the family's 1533-position model. The record is from RNAcentral.
UACGAAGGGGGCUAGCGUUGUUCGGAUUCACUGGGCGUAAAGGGUGCGUAGGUGGUGGGGUAAGUCUCGUGUGAAAGCUCGCAGCUUAACUGCGAAAAGUCACGGGAUACUAUUCCGCUGGAGGCUUGGAGGGGGGACUGGAAUACUUGGUGUAGCAGUGAAAUGCGUAGAUAUCAAGUGGAACACCAGUGGCGAAGGCGAGUCCCUGGACAAGACCUGACACUGAGGCACGAAAGCCAGGGGAGCAAACAGG